GCGUGCUAGGGUUAGUACCUACCCUAGAUUUAUGGAGAAGAAAGGAGAGAUGGGGGUAGCAGCUUGGAGAGAAACUUAGGAUUGGCUUGAUGGGAAGAGAGAAAGGGAAAAGCUUUAACGGAGGAGAGAAAGAGGAGACCCCAUAAAGGGGCUGAUGUCUUGAGAAAAGAGGGCUAAAGGUGCUAUUUAUAGAGUGGAGAGGCUAGGAUUUCAUGAAAAG
Molecule: long non-coding RNA, 220 nt
Filed under: Elaeis guineensis (African oil palm)
Lineage: Eukaryota; Viridiplantae; Streptophyta; Magnoliopsida; Arecales; Arecaceae
Description: long non-coding RNA (EGUI_LNC059546)
Source: RNAcentral